UACGUAGGAGGCGAGCGUUGUCCGGAGUUACUGGGCGUAAAGGGUGCGCAGGCGGCCGCGCGCGUAGGGGGUGAAAUCUCCUGGCUCAACUGGGAGGGGGCUUCCUAGACGGCGCGGCUUGAGGCUCGGCGGGGGGCGCGGAAUUCCGGGUGGAGCGGUGAAAUGCGUAGAGAUCCGGAGGAACACCGAAGGCGAAGGCAGUCUCCUGGCAAGUUACUGACGCUCAGGUGCGAAAGCUAGGGGAGCGAACAGG
RNAcentral lists this ribosomal RNA (253 nucleotides) under uncultured bacterium. Its description in RNAcentral is "partial 16S ribosomal RNA". It matches the Rfam family "Bacterial small subunit ribosomal RNA", at positions 524 to 776 of the family's 1533-position model. The record is from RNAcentral.